This is a long non-coding RNA of Cygnus atratus (black swan), 1051 nucleotides long. RefSeq lists it as uncharacterized. The record is from RefSeq and is a predicted model, not a curated record. The transcript has 3 exons. Lineage: Eukaryota; Metazoa; Chordata; Aves; Anseriformes; Anatidae.
AUUUCCCCAGCAGAGGCAGGCAGAAGAUGGAGAGGACCACCCUGCCAGCUGUCAAGGAGGUUCAGGCUGCAGGUGUGCUCCUGAAAAAAGCACUGCUGAGGUAUGGCCCUCUGCACAUGCAGCUACUUUAUGUUUCAGACAUACCUCGAUGUCAGGUCCUGUGGAAACCCAGAUACCCACUGCUCUGAACCUGGCAACAUGACACCUUUGUUACCUGUGUCACAGAUUGAUCUGCAGAGUCCUGGACCAUUGAAGAAUCUGGUUUCAGUCACCUUGGCUCAGUUGCAGUUUUCUGGGUAAUACACUGAGACAACUCUCAAAACUAAUUGUGAGCAAGUAACAUGUCAUUCUUCAGUCUCCAACACAUCAACAGAAAAAUCAAGUCUUCAACUAUAUAUGCCAACUUCUACUCUCUCUCAAAUAAAUACAUAUGAAGAUAAUAUAUUAUUUUUUCUCAGUAAAAAUAUUAAAUAUGGCACUAACGUUAUACAAGGUGGUAAAUAAAUUCAUUUUAGAGGCUGUGAUGAAGAGGGAAACUGAUUAAAAUGAUGGUUUAGAUAAACUGAACUGAGUCAGUCUCCCCUUGUGACAGAAAACAGCUUUUUAAAAUUACAUACAAUUAUUAGAUGUGACCUGAUGUCUCAUGCUUCUGUGUACAGGAAAAAAUAUAUAUAUAUAAAAAGCACUGAAUGGCAUGUAGGAAAAAGUUGUAUUGCAUUUGGUGCAAUUCUCACUUACUCAGUCUGCAGUUAAAACUCUGAUGGAGCCUACUACAUGACUAGAUUUCAAAUUGUAUUUCAGGAUGGAUAUCUGUUUUAUGGGGGGGCAGGGGCUGUCUGAUUCUGCAGCAAAACAAUCUCUGAUAGAGGAGGAUAGUUUAAUUAAUCACAAUUAAUGCCUCUCAUUCUAAUUUUAACUGUUGUUACUACAGUUCUCAUAGGAGGAAUGUAUGUCUCCCUCCUUUGCUUCUUUUUCUUUACUUGAUGGAAAAUGACAAUGCAACAUGCCAGUAAAAUACGCUGAGAUACAUUUCAAUAUGUUGAAAAAUACA